CGGCAACAGCUCAAAUUUGAAAUCUGGCCCUCGGGUCCGAGUUGUAAUUUGCAGAGGAUGCUUUUGGCGCGGUGCCUUCCGAGUUCCCUGGAACGGGACGCCAUAGAGGGUGAGAGCCCCGUCUGGUCGGACACCAAGCC
Molecule: ribosomal RNA, 140 nt
Filed under: Thelonectria discophora
Lineage: Eukaryota; Fungi; Ascomycota; Sordariomycetes; Hypocreales; Nectriaceae
Description: partial large subunit ribosomal RNA
Rfam family: Eukaryotic large subunit ribosomal RNA
Source: RNAcentral